RNAcentral lists this ribosomal RNA (94 nucleotides) under Citrobacter freundii. The record is from RNAcentral. Lineage: Bacteria; Pseudomonadati; Pseudomonadota; Gammaproteobacteria; Enterobacterales; Enterobacteriaceae. RNAcentral also lists the same sequence under 78 other names.
UCCCACCUGACCCCAUGCCGAACUCAGAAGUGAAACGCCGUAGCGCCGAUGGUAGUGUGGGGUCUCCCCAUGCGAGAGUAGGGAACUGCCAGGC